RNAcentral lists this ribosomal RNA (517 nucleotides) under uncultured Glomus. Its description in RNAcentral is "SSU rRNA". It matches the Rfam family "Eukaryotic small subunit ribosomal RNA", at positions 569 to 1088 of the family's 1831-position model. The record is from RNAcentral. Lineage: Eukaryota; Fungi; Glomeromycota; Glomeromycetes; Glomerales; Glomeraceae.
AGCAGCCGCGGUAAUUCCAGCUCCAAUAGCGUAUAUUAAAGUUGUUGCAGUUAAAAAGCUCGUAGUUGAAUUUCGAGACCGGUUUAUUGGUCGUGCUUUUGUACGUACUGGUAUUAUUGGUUUCUCCUUUCUGACGAAUCUUAAUGCCAUUAAUUUGGUGUUUUGGGGAAUCAGGACUGUUACUUUGAAAAAAUUAGAGUGUUUAAAGCAGGCUCACGCUUGAAUACAUUAGCAUGGAAUAACGGAAUAGGACGUUUGAUUCUAUUUUGUUGGUUUCUAGGAUCGACGUAAUGAUUAAUAGGGAUAGUUGGGGGCAUUAGUAUUCAAUUGUCAGAGGUGAAAUUCUUGGAUUUAUUGAAGACUAACUACUGCGAAAGCAUUUGCCAAGGAUGUUUUCAUUAAUCAAGAACGAAAGUUAGGGGAUCGAAGACGAUCAGAUACCGUCGUAGUCUUAACCAUAAACUAUGCCGACUAGGGAUCGGAUGAUGUUAAUUUUUAAUGUACUCAUUCGGCGCCU